GAUGAACGCUGGCGGCGUGCCUAAUACAUGCAAGUCGAGCGAACAGACGAGGAGCUUGCUCCUCUGACGUUAGCGGCGGACGGGUGAGUAACACGUGGAUAACCUACCUAUAAGACUGGGAUAACUUCGGGAAACCGGAGCUAAUACCGGGUAAUAUAUUGAACCGCAUGGUUCAAUAGUGAAAGACGGUUUGCUGUCACUUAUAGAUGGAUCCGCGCCGCAUUAGCUAGUUGGUAAGGUAACGGCUUACCAAGGCAACGAUGCGUAGCCGACCUGAGAGGGUGAUCGGCCACACUGGAACUGAGACACGGUCCAGACUCCUACGGGAGGCAGCAGUAGGGAAUCUUCCGCAAUGGGCGAAAGCCUGACGGAGCAACGCCGCGUGAGUGAUGAAGGUCUUCGGAUCGUAAAACUCUGUUAUUAGGGAAGAACAAAUGUGUAAGUAACUAUGCACGUCUUGACGGUACCUAAUCAGAAAGCCACGGCUAACUACGUG
RNAcentral lists this ribosomal RNA (496 nucleotides) under uncultured bacterium. RNAcentral describes it as "partial 16S ribosomal RNA". It matches the Rfam family "Bacterial small subunit ribosomal RNA", at positions 28 to 507 of the family's 1533-position model. The record is from RNAcentral.